Molecule: long non-coding RNA, 553 nt
Organism: Bactrocera neohumeralis
Lineage: Eukaryota; Metazoa; Arthropoda; Insecta; Diptera; Tephritidae
Exons: 2
Source: RefSeq, a predicted model, not a curated record
CAUCCAUCUGAGAGUUAAAUUCUGGUACACUUUACCUACAGAAGGAGUCCUGUCCUCGUCUGAGCAUGCACUUUCAUGGCUCAUCACGUUUACACAGUUUUGCGUGUUCACAAUGCAAGUUUUGUGAACUGUUUUCCCUAAGUAUUCACAAUAAUCAAACUUUGUGCAAACAGUUCUGUCGGUUUAAAAUAAAAUUAACCAGACAUUGUGAACGCCCCUAAAUAAAUAAACGUAGUGUUUAAAUUAUGGAUAUAUUGUUAACAAUGUUUGCGGCGCAAAGGAUGGGCCUGUUGUCCUCUACGACGGAACUACUAAUAUUCGGAUGAUAUCCAGCUUAAUGGCCCACAUGUACGCUUUAUCCAUUUCCGUGCAAUUCCUAAUAUUCAUAUUUAAGCUGAGGUGAGAUUACCGGAUGUUGGAGGUGCUUGAAGGAAUUGGCACUGGAUGAUGUUGAACAGUUGCUUAUUAAACUGCUGUUUUGAGGCUUACAUGAAUACAUAAUAUAUGUAUGUACAUAUGUAUGUAUAAUAAAAUGGAAAUGUAAUUAUUGGAA